UGGGGAAUAUUGCGCAAUGGGGGGAACCCUGACGCAGCCAUGCCGCGUGAAUGAAGAAGGCCUUAGGGUUGUAAAGUUCUUUCGGUAUUGAGGAAGGUUGAUGUGUUAAUAGCACAUCAAAUUGACGUUAAAUACAGAAGAAGCACCGGCUAACUCCGUGCCAGCAGCCGCGGUAAUACGGAGGGUGCGAGCGUUAAUCGGAAUAACUGGGCGUAAAGGGCACGCAGGCGGUUAUUUAAGUGAGGUGUGAAAGCCCCGGGCUUAACCAGGGAAUUGCAUUUCAGACUGGGUAACUAGAGUACUUUAGGGAGGGGUAGAAUUCCACGUGUAGCGGUGAAAUGCGUAGAGAUGUGGAGGAAUACCGAAGGCGAAGGCAGCCCCUUGGGAAUGUACUGACGCUCAUGUGCGAAAGCGUGGGGAGCAAACAGGAUUAGAUACCCUGGUAGUCCACGCUGUAAACGCUGUCGAUUUGGGGGUUGGGGUUUAACUCUGGCGCCCGUAGCUAACGUGAUAAAUCGACCGCCUGGGGAGUACGGCCGCAAGGUUA
RNAcentral lists this ribosomal RNA (547 nucleotides) under uncultured bacterium. RNAcentral's name for it is "bacterial SSU rRNA". It matches the Rfam family "Bacterial small subunit ribosomal RNA", at positions 355 to 896 of the family's 1533-position model. The record is from RNAcentral.